This 465-nucleotide ribosomal RNA is filed under the name uncultured bacterium. Its description in RNAcentral is "partial 16S ribosomal RNA". It matches the Rfam family "Bacterial small subunit ribosomal RNA", at positions 28 to 507 of the family's 1533-position model. The record is from RNAcentral.
GACGAACGCUGGCGGCGUGCUUAACACAUGCAAGUCGAACGCUGAACCCGCUUCGGUGGGGGAUGAGUGGCGAACGGGUGUGUAACACGUGGGCAACCUGCCCCCGGCUCUGGGAUAACUCCAAGAAAUUGGGGCUAAUACCGGAUGUGACCGCUGGCCGCAUGGUCUGGUGGUGGAAAGGGUUUCCGGCUGGGGAUGGGCCCGCGGCCUAUCAGCUUGUUGGUGGGGUAGUGGCCUACCAAGGCGACGACGGGUAGCCGGCCUGAGAGGGUGACCGGCCACACUGGGACUGAGACACGGCCCAGACUCCUACGGGAGGCAGCAGUGGGGAAUAUUGCGCAAUGGGCGGAAGCCUGACGCAGCGACGCCGCGUGGGGGAUGACGGCCUUCGGGUUGUAAACCUCUUUCAGCAGGGACGAAGCGCAAGUGACGGUACCUGCAGAAGAAGCACCGGCCAACUACGUG